AGGGUAAUAUUGAACAAUGGACGGAAGUUUGACGCAGCGACGCCGCGUGGAGGGUGUAGGCCUUCGGGUUGUGAACUCCUUUUUCUCGCGAAAAAGGCACAGUUUUGGCUGUGUUGAUGGUAGCGGGGGAAGAAGCGCCGGCUAACUACGUGCCAGCAGCCGCGGUAAUACGUAGGGCGCGAGCGUUGUCCGGAUUUAUUGGGCGUAAUGUGCUCGUAGGUGGUUCGUCGCGUCUGUCGUGAAGGCCAGCAGCUUAACUGUUGGCCUGCGGUGGGUACGGGCGUGCUUGAGUGCGGUAGGGGUGACUGGAAUUCCUGGUGUAGCGGUGGAAUGCGCAGAUAUCAGGAGGAACACCGAUGGCGAGGCAGGUCACUGGGCCGUUACUGACACUGAGGAGCGAAAGCGUGGGGAGCGAACAGG
RNAcentral lists this ribosomal RNA (420 nucleotides) under Fusobacteriota bacterium. Its description in RNAcentral is "Fusobacteria bacterium partial 16S ribosomal RNA". It matches the Rfam family "Bacterial small subunit ribosomal RNA", at positions 355 to 776 of the family's 1533-position model. Lineage: Bacteria; Fusobacteriati; Fusobacteriota. The record is from RNAcentral.